CAGGUCACUCCUACGGGAGGCAGCAGUGGGGAAUUUUCCGCAAUGGGCGAAAGCCUGACGGAGCAAUCUCGCGUGAGGGAUGACGGCCUAUGGGUUGUAAACCUCUUUUUUCAGGGAGGAAUAAAAUGACGUGUACCUGAAGAAUAAGCAUCGGCUAACUCCGUGCCAGCAGCCGCGGUAAGACGGAGGAUGCAAGUGUUAUCCGGAAUCACUGGGCGUAAAGCGUCUGUAGGUGGUUUAAUAAGUCAACUGUUAAAUCUUGAGGCUCAACCUCAAAAUCGCAGUCGAAACUAUUAGGCUAGAGUAUAGUAGGGGUAAAGGGAAUUUCCAGUGGAGCGGUGAAAUGCGUAGAGAUUGGAAAGAACACCGAUGGCGAAGGCACUUUACUGGGCUAUUACUAACACUCAGAGACGAAAGCUAGGGUAGCAAAUGGGAUUAGAUACCCCAGUAGUCCUAGCCGUAAACAAUGGAUACUAGAUGUUGAACAGAUCGACCUGUGCAGUAUUAAAGCUAACGCGUUAAGUAUCCCGCCUGGGAAGUAUGCUCGCAAGAGUGAAACUCAAAGGAAUUGACG
Molecule: ribosomal RNA, 574 nt
Filed under: uncultured diatom
Lineage: Eukaryota; Bacillariophyta
Description: bacterial SSU rRNA
Rfam family: Bacterial small subunit ribosomal RNA
Source: RNAcentral